RNAcentral lists this ribosomal RNA (852 nucleotides) under uncultured archaeon. Its description in RNAcentral is "bacterial SSU rRNA". It matches the Rfam family "Archaeal small subunit ribosomal RNA", at positions 85 to 922 of the family's 1478-position model. The record is from RNAcentral.
ACGGCUCAGUAACACGUAGCUAACCUACCCUUAGGACGUCGAUAACCCCGAGAAAUUGGGGCUAAUAGGCGAUAGAUGUAUUGUCCUGGAAUGGUAAUACGUCCAAAGGUAUCCCAUACAUGUUUGGUAUACGCCUAAGGAUGGGGCUGCGGCCGAUCAGGCUGUUGGUGAGGUAAUGGCUCACCAAACCUUUGACCGGUAUGGGCCAUGAGAGUGGUAGCCCAGAGAUGGGACACUGAGACAAGGGUCCAGGCCCUACGGGGCGCAGCAGGCGCGAAACCUCCUCAAUGCACUAACGUGCGAAGGGGUUACCUCGAGUGCCACCUGAAGAAGGUGGCUUUUCCUUGGUCUAAAAAGCCUAGGGAAUAAGAGGGGGGCAAGACUGGUGUCAGCCGCCGCGGUAACACCAGCCCCUCGAGUGGUGGGGAUGAUUAUUUGGCCUAAAGCGUCCGUAGCCGGCCGGGUAAGUUUCCCGUUAAAUCCAGCGUCUCAAGCGUUGGACUGCGGGAAAUACUGCCUGGCUAGAGAGUGGGAGAGGUCAGCGGUAUUCUGGGGGUAGGGGCGAAAUCCUUUGAUCCCCGGAGGACCACCAGUGGCGAAGGCUGCUGACUAGAACACGUCUGACGGUCAGGGACGAAAGCUGGGGUAGCGAACCGGAUUAGAUACCCGGGUAGUCCCAGCCGUAAACGAUGCAUGCUAGGUGUUGGGUUGGCCACGAGCCACCCCAGUGCCGCAGGGAAGCCGUUAAGCAUGCCGCCUGGGAAGUACGAUCGCAAGGUUGAAACUUAAAGGAAUUGGCGGGGGAGCACCACCAGGCGUGAAGCCUGCGGUUUAAUUGGAGUCAACGCCGGG